AGUGAACGCUGGCGGUAGGCCUAACACAUGCAAGUCGAACGGCAGCACAGUAAGAGCUUGCUCUUACGGGUGGCGAGUGGCGGAAGGGUGAGGAAUACAUCGGAAUCUACUUUUUCGGGGGGGAUAACGUAGGGAAACUUACGCUAAUACCGCAUAUGGCCUACGGGUGAAAGCAGGGGAUCUUCGGACCUUUCGCGAUUGAAUGAGCCGAUGUCGGAUUAGCUAGUUGGCUGGGUAAAGGCCCACCAAGGCGACGAUCCGUAGCUGGUCUGAGAGGAUGAUCAGCCACACUGGAACUGAGACACGGUCCAGACUCCUACGGGAGGCAGCAGUGGGGAAUAUUGGACAAUGGGCGAAAGCCUGAUCCAGCAAUACCGCGUGAGUGAUGAAGGCCUUCGGGUUGUAAAGCCCUUUUGUUGGGAAAGAAAAGCAGCAGGUUAAUACCCCGCUGUUCUGACGGUACCCAAAGAAUAAGCACCGGCUAACUUCGUG
This 492-nucleotide ribosomal RNA is filed under the name uncultured bacterium. RNAcentral's name for it is "partial 16S ribosomal RNA". It matches the Rfam family "Bacterial small subunit ribosomal RNA", at positions 29 to 507 of the family's 1533-position model. The record is from RNAcentral.